AACGAACGCUGGCGGCAGGCCUAACACAUGCAAGUCGAGCGAAGACAUCGGUUCUAGCCGCGGACGGGUGAGUAACGCGUGGGAAUGUGCCCUUCUCUACGGCAUAGCCCUGGGAAACUGGUCGUAAUACCGUAUACGCCCUAUUGGGGAAAGAUUUAUCGGAGAAGGAGCAGCCCGCGUUGGAUUAGGUUGUUGGUGGGGUAAUGGCCUACCAAGCCGAGGAUCCAUAGCUGGUUUGAGAGGAUGAUCAGCCACACUGGGGCUGAGACACGGCCCAGACUCCUACGCGAGGGAGGAAUGGGGGAUCUAGGACAAUGGCGGCAACCCUGAAGGUGUCAUGACGCGAGAGUGAUGUAGGUCUUAGGGUAGUAAAGCUCUUUCAGCUGUGAAGGUAAUGACGGUACCAGCAGAAGAAGCCCCGGCUAACUCCGUG
RNAcentral lists this ribosomal RNA (433 nucleotides) under uncultured bacterium. RNAcentral's name for it is "partial 16S ribosomal RNA". It matches the Rfam family "Bacterial small subunit ribosomal RNA", at positions 29 to 507 of the family's 1533-position model. The record is from RNAcentral.